ACUCAAAGGAAUUGACGGGGGCCCGCACAAGCGGUGGAGCAUGUGGUUUAAUUCGAUGCAACGCGAAGAACCUUACCUACUCUUGACAUCUCUGGAACCCUGCUUAGCAGCGGGGGUGCCGAAAGGAACCAGAAGACAGGUGCUGCAUGGCUGUCGUCAGCUCGUGUUGUGAGAUGUUGGGUUAAGUCCCGUAACGAGCGCAACCCUUGUCCUUAGUUGCUAACACGUCAUGGUGAGCACUCUAGGGAGACUGCCGGUGAUGAACCGGAGGAAGGCGGGGACGAGGUCAAGUCAUCAUGGCCUUUAUGAGUAGGGCUACACACGUGCUACAAUGGUAUAUACAGAGGGUAGCCAACCCGCGAGGGGGAGCCAAUCUCAAAAAGUAUAUCGUAGUCCGGAUUGGAGUCUGCAACUCGACUCCAUGAAGUCGGAAUCGCUAGUAAUCGCGAAUCAGAACGUCGCGGUGAAUACGUUCCCGGGCCUUGUACACACCGCCCGU
Molecule: ribosomal RNA, 499 nt
Filed under: uncultured bacterium
Lineage: Bacteria
Description: partial 16S ribosomal RNA
Rfam family: Bacterial small subunit ribosomal RNA
Source: RNAcentral